RNAcentral lists this long non-coding RNA (2510 nucleotides) under Volvox carteri. RNAcentral's name for it is "long non-coding RNA (VCAR_LNC003843)". The record is from RNAcentral. Lineage: Eukaryota; Viridiplantae; Chlorophyta; Chlorophyceae; Chlamydomonadales; Volvocaceae.
UCCGGUCCGAAGUCUCCUAAAAUGACAAUUGCCGCGUCAUAGAUAAAUGGUGGCAAUGUAACGGUAAGAUACCGAAGUGCACACAACAAGGGAGCCGACGCGGGUGCAGGGCUUGACGACCAAAGCGCACGCGGGCGCUACGAACUGUUGAAAUACUUACACACCAACGGCACGCGGCCUGGAUGUGGCGCUUACUGGCGCCGCUUCUCAUCCAGCGCGUAUCGGACAACCGCACUUUGCUGCUACUGCAGUUUCUCCUUAUCUUCUGCUAGACAUAUCUAUUGGAUAAAAACGAGAAAAUAGAGAGGUGUUGACAAGGUGAAGCUUUAGCCGCGAGCUCGGCUGUAGCCUCGAUCACGGUGGGGCUCGAACCCACAUGGAAAUAGGUCACCGGGGCCGAAUCUAAAAUAUAGACACCCUAUCCAUGUCCAUCGCACCAUCCACCGCCACCAGUUCCACGACCACCGCCGCCGCACUGGCUUCACCUCUGGCCUAACCGCACCUCUGCUCCUUGCCAUACACAGAUUCGCAAGAAAUUUGCCUCAGGCACCCGCCAGUAAUCGCAGCUCUUGAAGGUACUCAACUCCGGCAGUAGCAGCAGCAGCAGCAGGACCGUCAUGUUGAUUGCAGGACCAGGCUCAUGCGGACAUACAGUGAGAAACAAGUGGGGAGGGCGUGUGUGUGGACAAGUCAGCGUGUGACGUGUCAAUUACGGAGUCAACACAUAUCAAGCGCGCAAUAUACCUCGACGGUACGACACAGUGCUGCUGCUGCUGUUGCUGUGCCGCCAGCCUCCGGCCAAAGCCCACUGUGCAGUUAUCACUAAUCCUCGUACCGUACCGCGACAUGAAAAACACAAUAGGAUGAUGCUCCACAAACUACGGCACACGGAAGAGUCACGACACCACAACCGAUAGCAACCGACCAGUUAAUCGCCCGUACAGCCGAAACAGAUUGGUAAUCUGCUGGACACAUCCCUCAACUCAAAUCAACGCACAUACUGACACUCGUAAUAGUGAAGUGCUCAGCCCCCCUCAGCACCACGACGGGGUGCCGCCGCCGCCACAGCAGCACCAACACGAGCCUCGGGAAGAAGACAGCGGAGCCAGGCGCCUCUGCCACCUAGGGAAGGACGAUAAAGGGAAAACACAAGCGCGUCAGAGAACGUCCCAUUUCCUAGAAACAGCGCACUUACCUCCUUUACCCGUCCGCGAGCCCAUAACCUGAGCGGGUAGAAACCCACCGUACGAGCAUCAGGCGAGCAUGCGGUGGUCGGGCCCUGCAUUGCAAAGUCCCGCUUCGCGCAAAUAGCGACACGAACAACGGACGCGGAGGUGGGCCUGGCGAGUGGUGCGUCUUGGCAGUUCCCCUUAGGGCUACUAAAACGGCACCGGGAAGCCUGGCGCUUCUCACCGUUCCUAUCCUUCUCUAUCUCACCUCCUAUGCACCACCCUCCCUCCUGCGGAAAAACUGCUCCCUGGUGACAGACAGACAGUGCACUCCCGCGCAGGGAAGCGAGAGAGAACUCAGGCCACUACCAGGGAGACCACUUCCGGAAUCCUGCUGUGUUUUACGACAUGCUACUGCAGGUUUUAUUUGAAACCCUUGCACCCGUACCGCACCGUACGUUACUGUACGGAACCGCACCGUACCGUGUGGCAUUCAUAUCCGCGGUACCGUGGCAGCAGUUGCCGGAAGGCGUCGUUGUGGAGGGAUAGCGCGGCGUCCAUUACCGCGACGGGCAGCGUUUCCCACAACGAGGUCAUUAAAUGCAGGCACAUACUGAGAUACACAGCAAUCAUGCUUGGAUGGCGGCUAGCAACGCUAAUCCGGACUUUGUUUUAGGGCUGGACACCUUUCCUUAAGGGGUCUGCUCCGCUGCGCUUUGCUACUGUUGCUCCUGCUGUUGCUGUUGCUGCUGCUGCCACCAACCGCCAGCCAAGUACGACUGCAUAAUCACGCGAUACGCGGCGCAGGAAAACACAAUCGGCACGGCGAUACGAAACAUGUAGUACACGCCACGAUACGGCACGGAUCCAUAUCGCCGACUUACCGCAUGUAUCAUCUGGAGGGUGCUUGCACCGUAGAUACCGCCAAGCGCCGCCGGUCAAAAGGAGGGUACGCGGUUCGGGGAACAGCUGGGGCGGGGCGGGAGGGGAUGAUAUCGUUUGCUUUGCUACUGCUUUGCUGCUACUGCUGCUGUCGCAGCAGACCGCCAGGCAGACAUGAUUGCACGCUCCCAACAAAAUGCGGAACUGAAAACCCUAAACAGUACGACCAACCGCAAAGCGCGAGGUAUCUUGAAAUCCAGGGGCUCAUGCAAGGACUGCAGCUCGUGUAGCGCCCAAUCGUUGCGCCCUCGGCAUUGGUGUUGAUAUACGGCCGCCGCGCAGCCAUAAGGACGCACCAGAGGCAGGCGGGAGGACGGGGCAGGAGGAUGGGCGGAGGGGAAGGAAUAAUCAGCAAGGUACGAUGAGGUGGUUCAUGAGGCCGUCUUGUUUGGGUUCACG